UACAGAGGGGGCAAGCGUUAUUCGGAAUUAUUGGGCGUAAAGAGCGUGUAGGCGGCUUUACAGGUCCGUUGUGAAAACUCGAGGCUUAACCUCGAGACGUCGGUGGAAACCAUCCAGCUAGAGUCCGGAAGAGGAGAGUGGAAUUCCUGGUGUAGCGGUGAAAUGCGCAGAUAUCAGGAAGAACACCCGUGGCGAAAGCGGCUCUCUGGGACGGUACUGACGCUGAGACGCGAAAGCGUGGGGAGCGAACAGG
This 253-nucleotide ribosomal RNA is filed under the name uncultured bacterium. RNAcentral describes it as "partial 16S ribosomal RNA". It matches the Rfam family "Bacterial small subunit ribosomal RNA", at positions 524 to 776 of the family's 1533-position model. The record is from RNAcentral.